Molecule: ribosomal RNA, 497 nt
Filed under: uncultured bacterium
Lineage: Bacteria
Description: partial 16S ribosomal RNA
Rfam family: Bacterial small subunit ribosomal RNA
Source: RNAcentral
GAUGAACGCUGGCGGCGUGCCUAAUACAUGCAAGUCGAGCGAACAGACCAGGCGCUUGCUGCUCUGUCGUUUGCGGCGGACGGGUGAGUAACACGUGGAUAACCUCCCUAUAAGACUGGGAUAACUUCGGGACACCGGCGCUAAUAGCGUAGAAUAUAUUGCAGCGCAUGGUUGAUUAGUGAAAUACGGUGGUUGUGUCACUUCUCGAUGGUUACGCGCUGCUUUAGCUAGUUGUGAAGGUAAAGGGUUAUCAAGGCGACGAUGCGUAGCCGACCGGAGUGGGUGAUAGGCCACCCUGGAACGGGGACACGGUCCAGACUCCUACGGGAGGCCGCAGUAGGGAAUCUUCCGCAAUGGGGGAAAGCCUGACGGAGCGACGCCGCGUGAGUGGUGAAGGUCUUCGGAUCGUAAAACUCUGUUAUUAGGGAAGAACAAAUGUGUAAGUAACUAUGCACGGCUUGACGGUACCUAAUCAGAAAGCCACGGCUAACUACGUG